This 484-nucleotide ribosomal RNA is filed under the name uncultured bacterium. Its description in RNAcentral is "bacterial SSU rRNA". It matches the Rfam family "Bacterial small subunit ribosomal RNA", at positions 69 to 543 of the family's 1533-position model. The record is from RNAcentral.
CGAAAGGGGGGCGACCCCUGAGUAGAGUGGCGAACGGGUGAGUAACACAUCGGAACGUGCCAAGUCGUGGGGGACAACCAGCCGAAAGGCUGGCUAAUACCGCAUACGCUGGAGACAGGAAAGCCGGGGACCCUGGCAACGGGGCCUGGUGCGAAUGGAGCGGCCGAUGUCCGAUUAGCUAGUUGGCGGGGUAAGAGCCCACCAAGGCGACGAUCGGUAGCUGGUCUGAGAGGAUGAUCAGCCACACUGGGACUGAGACACGGCCCAGACUCCUACGGGAGGCAGCAGUGGGGAAUUUUGGACAAUGGGCGAAAGCCUGAUCCAGCCAUGCCGCGUGAGGGAAGAAGGCCUUCGGGUUGUAAACCUCUUUCGGCCGGGACGAAAACGGCGGGAUGAAUAGUCUCGCUGGAUGACGGUACCGGAAGAAGAAGCACCGGCUAACUACGUGCCAGCAGCCGCGGUAAUACGUAGGGUGCGAGCGUUA